RNAcentral lists this ribosomal RNA (458 nucleotides) under uncultured Sphingobacteriales bacterium. RNAcentral's name for it is "bacterial SSU rRNA". It matches the Rfam family "Bacterial small subunit ribosomal RNA", at positions 927 to 1382 of the family's 1533-position model. The record is from RNAcentral. Lineage: Bacteria; Pseudomonadati; Bacteroidota; Sphingobacteriia; Sphingobacteriales.
AAGCGGAGGAGCAUGUGGUUUAAUUCGAUGAUACGCGAGAACCUUACCUGGGCUCGAACGUAAGAUGACUGUAGGUGAAAAGCUUACAUCUCUUCGGAGCAUUUUACGAGGUGCUGCAUGGUUGUCGUCAGCUCGUGCCGUGAGGUGUCGGGUUAAGUCCCAUAACGAGCGCAACCCCUACCUUUAGUUGCCAUCAGGUUAAGCUGGGGACUCUAAAGGAACUGCCUACGCAAGUAGUGAGGAAGGCGGGGAUGACGUCAAAUCAGCACGGCCCUUACGUCCAGGGCUACACACGUGCUACAAUGGCCGAUACAGAGGGCAGCUACCUGGUGACAGGAUGCAAAUCUCCAAAGUCGGUCUCAGUUCGGAUCGGAGUCUGCAACCCGACUCCGUGAAGUUGGAUUCCGCUAGUAAUACGACGCAUCAGCUAUGGCGCGGUGAAUACGUUCCCGGGCCUU